Molecule: ribosomal RNA, 254 nt
Filed under: uncultured bacterium
Lineage: Bacteria
Description: partial 16S ribosomal RNA
Rfam family: Bacterial small subunit ribosomal RNA
Source: RNAcentral
UACGGAGGGUGCAAGCGUUGUCCGGAAUCACUGGGCGUAAAGGGUGCGUAGGCGGGUCUUUUAAGUCAGGGGUGAAAUCCUGGAGCUCAACUCCAGAACUGCCUUUGAUACUGAGGAUCUUGAGUUCGGGAGAGGUGAGUGGAACUGCGAGUGUAGAGGUGAAAUUCGUAGAUAUUCGCAAGAACACCAGUGGCGAAGGCGGCUCACUGGCCCGAUACUGACGCUGAGGCACGAAAGCGUGGGGAGCAAACAGG